GUGAGUCAUCGAAUCUUUGAACGCACAUUGCGCCUCUCGGUAUUCCGGGAGGCACGCCUGUUCGAGCGCCAUUACACACUCCAAGCGAAGCUUGAUGUUGGACGCUGCGGUUCCUCUUGGGAUCGCACGUCUGGAACGUGUGGGCGCCCAUCGCCGGACCACGAGCGUAGCAAGACAUUCGUCAAUUUCGCUCUGUGGACUUCCGACGGAGGGCGGCCUCGAACUUUUUUCUGUUUCAGAAGUUUGGCCUCGGAUCAGGCGGGGAUACCCGCUGAACUUAAGCAUAUCAAUAAGCGGAGGA
This 301-nucleotide unclassified non-coding RNA is filed under the name Ascomycota sp. RNAcentral's name for it is "partial contains 5.8S ribosomal RNA, internal transcribed spacer 2, and large subunit ribosomal RNA". The stretch from base 1 to 71 matches the Rfam family "5.8S ribosomal RNA", at positions 84 to 154 of the family's 154-position model. Lineage: Eukaryota; Fungi; Ascomycota. The record is from RNAcentral.